Vicugna pacos (alpaca) is the source of this 811-nucleotide RNA transcript. It is a transcript of the gene named dynein regulatory complex protein 8 pseudogene, with no coding region annotated. The record is from RefSeq and is a predicted model, not a curated record. NCBI's taxonomy places the organism in Eukaryota, Metazoa, Chordata, Mammalia, Artiodactyla, Camelidae.
CAACAAGAUGGCGGACGAGAGAGACAGGGAAAGCACAGAAAUAGCAGUAGCAGAAUUGCACAAAAAAAUCAAAGAAGCUUUUGAAGUGUUUGACCAAGAGUCAAAUAAUACAGUGGAUGUGAGAGAGAUCGGGACAAUUAUCAGGUCAUUAGGAUGCUGCCCUAGUGAAGGAGAGCUACACGAUCUGAUUGCAGAGGUAGAGGAAGAAGAACCCACUGGAUACUUUUGGUAUGAAAAAUUUCUUCCAGUGAUGACUGAAGUUCUACUGGAAAGAAGAUACAGACCAAUUCCAGAAGAUAUCCUUCUUCGAGCUUUUGGGGUAUUAGAUCCAGCUAAACGUGGGUUUCUUUCUAAGGAAGAGCUGAUCAAGUAUAUGACUGAAGAAGGUGAGCCCUUUUCUCAGGAGGAAAUGGAAGAAAUGUUGUCUGCUGUAAUUGAUCCAGAAUCGAAUACAAUUCAUUACAAGGACUACAUAGCAAUGAUGGUGAUAGAUGAAAAUUAAGCACUAAAGACUUCAUUUCUAAUUGAAAGGAUAAUUUUAAAAAUUACUUGACCUUGUUAAUUUCACAUUUUAUCUUAUAAUUCCUAUAUAUGCUGAUUAAUGCCUUGUGACAACUACUUCAAUAUAUUUUGUUUUUUAAAGAUAAUCAUAACAAUUUAAAACAAAUUUAUUUAGUGUGUUUAGCCUUAUGGAAUGACAAAUUGCUAAUUAUUUUAAAACUGUUCUUAAAACAUUUUAACAUUAUCCAUGGACUGUUGUUAACAUUCUCCAAUAAAACCCAGAUUACUUUCAAAUUAAAAAAAAAAAAAA